AGCAAAGAAAACAGGAUGGGACACAGCUGGUCUCAUCUUCCCUUUCCCUCUAAUAAACCCGAGCCACCCACCAGAAACCCACGGCACCAUCGCUUUCCCAUAACCCAGUUCCAGACACUCAACUGCAACUUAAACACGAGCUUAUCAGGUGCACAUGCGAAUGCACGUGGGAAGCUGUGAUGAUGGUCUUACCACAUGGUUACUAGCAGACCAUCUGAAAGACUCCUGCAGUCUCCUCACCACGGCUCAUGGGAGCACUGUUGACUACUGCGGCAACCUGACAUUCACAUUCGUUCACUAGACUUGACCUCACAUGCAUUCCUAGCAUUUUAAAAAGAUUUAUGUAUUUUAUGUACGUGGUUUUGCCUGUACAGAUGUAAAUGCACCACAAGCAUGCAGUGCCCAGUCAGAAGAGGGCCAGGUGUUGUUCUUCUAAGACAGUUUUUUACUGGCCUGGGUUUACAGCAAGCCUUAGAGAGCCUUUGGGUCCCCACCUCCCGCCUCCUCUGUGCUGAGAUCACAGGCUUUUCUAUGUGGAUUCUGAGGAACAAACUCAGGUCCUCGUAUCUAUGUGCGGCUUAGCCUACAGAGUGAGCUCCAGGGCAGAGAGACCUUGUCUCAAAAAAAGCCCCUGAGAAGCCAGGCCCAGUGGUGCACAUCUUUAAUCCCAGCACAUGUAAGGCUGAGACAGGCGGAUCUCUGGGAGACAGAGACCUGGUUGGUCUACAGAGUGGGUUCUAGGACAGCCAGAAAUACAUUGCGAGACCCCGUCUUAAAGCAAGAGGGCGACCAGCUCCCAGGACCUCGCUUGGGGCUGUCCUCUGGCCAUGUACACAGUCUCGAGGGCGCACACCCACAACAGUCUCUGAAACUAGGAAGGAAACUUAAUUUUAGGCAGUCAAACAUGAGAUUAGAAAAAUCAAUUAACUGUCAUUUUUAAUUUAAAACCAAACCAGAAGGGCCUGUAUGAAAAGCGGGGCUCAGAUUUCCUGGUAGCUGGGAGAGCCAGGGAUGCACAAGCUGGUGCUGAAUACAUUAGCGCGCCCGGCAGAUGUCGUGGGUUACCACGCCACGGAGACACCUCAGGGAGCAGCAAUCCAUAUGUCACUGAGAAAGCUCACCAGAGCUGUCCCCAGAGAUUCCUGCCAGACCCCUGGGUGAACCGAGCAGCUGGCUCACAGUUGGUAAGUCUGCCUAUAACAAUGGAAGAGAUCACCAUAGGAGGGAACACAAGCCCCUGAGCCGGCCCAUAGGCCAUGGGGCAGUCAACGCAGGGUGUAAGAGAAACUGUAAAUACCAAACAAUAAAAAUCCAAAAAAAAAAAGGUGACUGCUAGUCUCACGCACACACACAAAAACAACUCACUUUUAAUUCCAGAGCCGCAUGAUGGGAGAUACUUCCUAAUGGACUUCUCCUCAGUGGCAAGGCCUGUCAGUUCCAGUACAAAUCACUACAAUUGGGCUUAAGUACCACAAACAUACAUGUGUUCCCAUAUACACACAGUCACUGUGUCCUCUCUAAAUAGGACAUGAUUUUUUUCCUAUGAAGUAGAUGGUUUCAAAAUGUACACGUACUGUAUGAGAUCCAGAGACCUUUCGUGAAUACAGAUUAUGAGCAGAAAAUUAACUGAAUCUACCAUUGGUCUCACAAGUGUAUACAAUCCUGCAAAAUUACUGAAAACAAGGGGAUGUGCUCUCAGAACACAGUCAGGUUUCCAGACACUUAGCUCUGAGAUUAAACAACCAUGUAGGGCUACCUAAGGCAAGUCACACAGCACCCCAGAAGGCACCAAGGGUUCAUUUGGCAAAAGAGCUUGGAGUCUAUGAGAGUCUAGCGCCACCAAAGCUAAGUGGCAGCAUUGGAUCUGCCUUUAGUUUCUCUAGGUAGGAAGAAGCCCAGGGUGUCAGCCAGUAGAGAUGAAGGUAGCUGGAGAGAUGGCUCAACGGCUAAGAGCACUUGCUGCUCUCUCAGCGAGCUUGAGUUCAGUUCCCAGUACCCAGUUGUGAGCUGGACGGCUCACAACUGCCUCUAGCUCUAGUUCUAGGGUACUGGUUCUCAACUGUCCUCACGCUAGGACCAUUGAGUACCAUCCUCAUGUUGUGGGGACCCCAACCAUAAAACUAUUUUGUUGCUACUUCAUAAUUAUAAUUUUGUUGUUGUUAUGAAUUAUAAUAUAAAUAUCUGAUAUGCAGGAUAUCUGUUAUGCAACCCCAAAGGGGUCACAAGUUGAGAAUUGCUGUUCCAACACUGUCCUGGCCUUUGUGGGUACUGCACGCAUGCACACACAGAGAGAGAGAGAGAGAGAGAGAGAGAGAGAGAGAGAGAGGGGAAACCUAACACCCUCCCUAUCUGAGGACCAGGGAGAGCAGGACUUUCUUUGUCAGGGUCUUAGAGCUAACAGGUAGCCUCCUGACUUCUAAUCAGAUCUACCUCCUCUGGGCCAGAGCAGUUUUGAAAUCGUUCCUUUUCUAAAGCUUCUUUGAGGAACUGCUACUGCAGAAUCUAGACCUAGACUGAUGUCUCGCCGGGAGGAGAAAAAUUGGUCAACUUUGGCUAUGACAGACACACUCUAUUCCUGCUUCUGAGUAGUGACAGGUAGCUCAGGCCAUAGAUCAAACAGAGCCACUGGCUGUUUGGUGAUCGCCAACACAUAGUAAUGCUCUCUGACGUUCUUUUUAUUUGAAGACUUUUAAAAUCUCAUGUGUAUGAGUGCCAUGCAGACAUGCCUGCACAUAUAUGUGGGUACCAUGUGUGUGCCUGGUGCCAAGGACCCCAGAAAAUGGUGCCAUCAGAUUCCUGACACUGAGCAUAAGCCUUCAUGUGGGUUCUGGGGGCAGAAUUGAGCUGUCUGCCAGGGCAGCCCCUGCUCUGAACUGCUGAGCUCCUCUCUAGACCCCCCACCCCGCUCCCCGGCAGUUCACACUUCUACUGCACACCUGUCAGCCCAGUGAGUGUGACAAAAUCCCAUGGUGACAACAGACACAGCUCUUCUCAGUCCUGACUCUACUUACUACAAAUCCAUCUUAACAGUGUGUGUGGACCCCACUGUAUGUGAGCGUGAGGUAUGACCAGUGUGGGUGAACUCAGUGUAUGUGAGCGUGAGGUAUGACCACUGUGGGUGAGCCCAGUGUAUGUGAGCAUGAGGUAUGACCACUGUGGGUGAGCCCAGUGUAUGUGAGCAUGAGGUAUGACCACUGUGGGUGAGCCCAGUGUAUGUGAGCGUGAGUUAUUACCAGUGUGGGUGAGCCCAGUGUAUGUGGAAUGUGAGGUAUGACCAGUGUGGGUGAGCCCAGUGUAUGUGAGCAUGAGGUAUGACCACUGUGGGUGAGCCCAGUGUAUGUGAGCAUGAGGUAUGACCACUGUGGGUGAGCCCAGUGUAUGUGAGCGUGAGUUAUUACCAGUGUGGGUGAGCCCAGUGUACGUGGAAUGUGAGGUAUGACCAGUGUGGGUGAGCCCAGUGUAUGUGAGCAUGGAGGUAUGACCACUGUAGGUGAGCCCAGUGUAUGUGGAAUGUGAGGUAUUAUAUACUCAGUAGGGGACCACGGAGGAACCAGCAGUAAACAGGAUGUGAAGCCAACUGAGAGUGGAUGAAGGUAUAGAGAGGUAUGGAUGCCAGGCAGGGGAAAGUGAUAAGACUCUUCCUAGGGGAACCCCACUUCCAGAGCCUUUAAAGACAAGCGGGCUGGGGAGCUGAGGUGGACAUUUCAGUCAGGAGCAGCAGCCAGUUGUGCCAAAGCUGAGGAGAGGUACGGUUUCCUUGGGAGGGGAAAAUGGUCCGUACAAAUGCUGCCACCUCCCUUGCCUGCUCUAACAUCCUUGCUUUCUCACUGUUCUGCUCGGAGUGCUGGAUCCACGGACCAUGUAACUCCACUCUCCUCAACAUCCAGGUCUCUGCUUCAAUGCCCAGAGGCCUCUCCUGGCUAAAGUUUCCUGUCUUCUCAGAUGUAAGGAUUUAAGAAUGUAUCUUCCCUGGCUGCUUCUUGCUAUGCCCAGGACUUCAGGCAGGCAACGCCGUCAUAAAAAUGUACUGAGUAAAUACCAUUGCCAGUGCACGGACUCUGAGUCACACUGUGAAUUGCAAGGCAGGGCUCUGCUACUUAUUAACUCAUGUGAGCUCAGAUAAUUCCCUUGACCCUUCAGUUCCUUCCUUAAUGGGAUGGGGUAAGAGGGCAUGAUCUCACGGGUCCAUUCACACAGCACUCAGAACUCCACAUGUUGAUAUGAUAUAGCUCUGAUGAUGAACCAGACACCAUUUAAAUGCUUAGAAGAGGCGCGGUUUGGGAUUUGAAUAUUUGCUUGGCAGAGUAAGCUGAUGAAAAGAAGGAACAGUUUGUUCCUCCCGCAGCUGAUGGGCACAUUUCACUCUGCUCCCUUCAGUUUCUUUCCCACAGAAUACAAGAAGUGCACAUCCUGCUGAGACAGAACUGGCACUCAGGUCAAAUGCCAUCCUUAAGAUCUGCUGACCUUCCCAGCUUGCCUCCUUUGAGAGGAGUGGCCUGACCAGAAAGCGCCAACACUUGUAGUGGAACAGAGGUCUUGAUAAGAGCAAAUGUAACACAAAUGAUGGUUGUGAAGGCCACUCUACCUUUCUGGGAGCGAUUUAACAGUGCUGCACCAUGACGUGGCAACAGGAAGUAGGUGAAAGGUGGGAGGAAAGCGAGGUGAGCACCAGCACCAGCACCACUGCAUACAGCCCACAAGUCCGGGCCUCUGGAAACCCAUGUUACAAUUUUAGCUUUAUGUGUCUGUUCAUUUUCUCUGGUCCCAGAGCUUAGGUGACAACGUGAAAUCAAGAAGAGAGAAGACAUAGCUGGGAGAACCUACUGUCAUCUCCUGACCACUAGAGAGACGUGUUCAGGAUCAAGGUGGCCACCACUCUAGGAACAGAGUCCCAGUGAAGGACACUGACCAAUGGAAGCCACGGAAUGUGCUGCCCAUUGCAGGCCAGAGGGGACAGAGCAAACAAGCUUAGCAAGGAAAAGAAAGUACGUGUAGACUCCUGAAACUGGGAAGGAGGAUUCUGGGAGUUCAGGAAGUGACACGAUUCCCAAGCCCCUCCCCUUAAGGUUUAUAUUAACAAGCAGCAACAAUUGGUAGAAUGGAGCAGACUCCUUGGUGGAGCUUCCAGCCGGAGAGGGCCCCAGCGAGGUGCCUCUUAUCACUCACCGCCCAUUCUGGGAUAGGCUUUCCAGUGAUUAAGCCCCGCGCCAUCUCUAAGGAACCCCAGCAAAUCACUGACUCAUGAGCUUCACCAGGUGGAGCCGCGGCUUUGGUUUCCCAUUGGUGCCCUAUCUGGGGCGGAUGGGCAUUUGUUCACAGCCCCUCACUACACUCAGUGAGGUCAGCCCAGCAACAGAUGCCCGGGGAGUCCCACGUGCAAAGCUUGGGGUGUCCUGCUGUACCAUGAGGGCCCACACCAGGUCUCAAUCCACACUGAAAGGGCAAUGAAAAGCAGGUGCUGGGUGUCUGUUCUAUACCGCAGGCCAAUCACAAUCCUUCCUUCAUGACCUCAGAGGGUGGACUGCGCUGGUGGUCAGCACUUAAGUGCUUGCCAAGAAAGCAUGAGGGCCAGAGUUCACAUCUCCAGAGUCAAGGUGGGUGUGCAGCCUGACCUCCACUCCAGCUUUGGAAGGUGGAGAUGGAGCAGAGCAUGCUGGGUAGCAAAACUAGCUUUACCAGUGGGGUCUGAGUUUGACUGACAGCCUACCUCAAUGAAUAUGGUGGGAGAGCAAUCAAGAAUACAAUGGAAGACUGAUCAAGGAUGAUUACUGAUAUCAACCUUGGGCCUCUACAUGUAUGCAUAUACAUGUGCAUGCAUACAUAUAUGCAUGUACUGCCCAUGUGUACACACAUACAGAAAAACAUACAUUCACACAUGCUGUGGGUCAAUGGUCUUCUAUUGUUUUAAUAAAAUGCUGAUUGGCCAGUAGCCAGGCAGGAAGUAUAGGGACAACCAGACAGGAAGUAGAGGCGGGUCAAUGAGAACAGGAGAAUUCUGGGAAGGAGGAAGCCCAUUCCUCUGUAGUCCUGACCUGAACACAGAGGAAGCAAGAUGUGACUGCCCCGCUGAAUAAAGUACUGAGCCACAUGGCUAACACAGAUAAGAAUAAUGGGCUAUGUAAGAGUUAAUAAGAAGCCUGAGCUAAUGGGCCAAUCAGUUUAUAUCUAAUUAGACCUCCACGUGAUUUCUUUGGGACUUAAUAAUUGUGGGAACUGGGCAGGACAGAAACCAGGACAACAGGGGGAGACAAGAACAGGAGAAUUCUGGUAAGAGGAAAAAGUCAGACUAUAGUUGUCACCCAGAUGCAGAGGAAGCAAGAUGAGACUGCCUCACUGAUAAAGGUACCAAGCCACGUGGCUAAUACAGACUAGAAUUAUGGGCUAAUAUAAAUUAUAAGAGUUAAUAAUCAGCCUAAGCUAAUAGGCCAACCAGUUUAUGAUUAAUGUAGACCUCUGUGUAUUUCUUUGAGAUUGAAUGGCUGCGGGACCACGCAGGACAGAAACCUCUGUCAACACACACAUGAAAGCUGGAAAGAAAUAAACCACACAAUUUCCGAUGGUGACUCUCAUGAGAAUCUCUAGGGCCGGAAGUAAAUCCUGAAAUGAACCAAAGCUGUGCACGCUGACAUGACAUACACACAUGGCGGUGGACAGCUGGGGGAGAGAAGAGCCCCACUUUCCAAGGUUCCCAAGGGCAGAAGAGCAUUCCCAGGAGUGACUGCCGACUUUUCAAGGCGAGUAUGACCUCCACACAGGGUUGGCUGUAGUCAGGC
Molecule: long non-coding RNA, 6773 nt
Organism: Alexandromys fortis (reed vole)
Lineage: Eukaryota; Metazoa; Chordata; Mammalia; Rodentia; Cricetidae
Exons: 3
Source: RefSeq, a predicted model, not a curated record